GCGUGGGUAGGUCAACGGCUAGACUUUCUGCCUUCCAAGCAGACUAUCCGGGUUCGAAUCCCGGCCUGCGCA
RNAcentral lists this transfer RNA (72 nucleotides) under Candidatus Pacearchaeota archaeon. RNAcentral describes it as "tRNA-Gly". It matches the Rfam family "tRNA". From Rfam's summary of the family: Transfer RNA (tRNA) molecules are approximately 80 nucleotides in length. Their secondary structure includes four short double-helical elements and three loops (D, anti-codon, and T loops). Further hydrogen bonds mediate the characteristic L-shaped molecular structure. tRNAs have two regions of fundamental functional importance: the anti-codon, which is responsible for specific mRNA codon recognition, and the 3' end, to which the tRNAs corresponding amino acid is attached (by aminoacyl-tRNA synthetases). tRNAs cope with the degeneracy of the genetic code in two manners: having more than one tRNA (with a specific anti-codon) for a particular amino acid; and 'wobble' base-pairing, i.e. permitting non-standard base-pairing at the 3rd anti-codon position. The record is from RNAcentral. Lineage: Archaea; Nanobdellati.